This is a long non-coding RNA of Canis lupus familiaris (dog), 993 nucleotides long. RefSeq lists it as uncharacterized. The transcript has 5 exons. NCBI's taxonomy places the organism in Eukaryota, Metazoa, Chordata, Mammalia, Carnivora, Canidae. The record is from RefSeq and is a predicted model, not a curated record.
CCCCGCCCUUCCACGCGCACGCGCCCCCUGCUGCCCUAGUGCCUCAGGCCCCGCACGCAACUCCCGCGCGAAGUGUCGGACGGCAGAGCGCGCGGAAACGGCGGGCGGUUGCGCGGGCGGCGCGCUCGCCUCGCCCUCUCGUCCGGUGAGGGUGGUUUGGCCUCCUUCCCCUCGUCACAGGGUCAGCCGGACCCAGGUUGGCACUGGGGAGCCUGCAUGGGGAGAUUCUCUUCAUUACUUCCUCAAGUUCUGAUACCAGUUCCCAUUACCCUAAGAAGUUCCUUGAGCAUUUCUUGUUAUGUAGAUUACCAGCUUCUCAGAAUCUGCAGAUUCAACUGGAUGUAUCCAUGAGUUAAGAAUGCAUUUGGCUGCAUUUGACAGGAAAUACUACUACAGCAACUUGAACAAGACCAGGUUGAUUUUUCUCAUCUAAUUCAGAGUUCACAAAGAAGAGACCCUGUGAGCACAUAGAAGAAGGCAGUCACCUAGGAGCCAAAGGAAGAGAUCUCAGACUGAAACUUCUCUUGCCAACAUCUUCUCGCCUCCAGAACUGUUCCUUGUAUGAGUUCUAUUGCCUAAAAGAAGUGACUCACCUAUGAGGGAUAUGUGAUGAUAUCCAGAGAACUAUUUCCCCACUUCUUGGCUCAGGUCCCUGACAACGGAUGAGCUGCAGAAGACAAUGUGUUAGGAAAGUGAUUUAGCAAUUUAUUUCUCAUCUGAAACCCGAGAGGCAGUUUAUACUUGCUUAACAGACAAGCAUAUGUCUAAAUGGCUUUUUUGAGGUCUAAUCAUGAGUCAACAACACAAGAGGACUCAAAUCACUCUGUGCCUGAAGUAUCAAGCUUUUGUCAUAAAUGAUCUCAGGCCAUCCUUUCUUUCAAAGAAUAUUAUCUCUUAUUUCCAGAAUGAAUAGAUCAAAAUAAUUGACUCCAAAGUACCCUCUUGAUGCAAUGUACCAUAGAAAUGGCCGUAUAACGAAGCAAAUUGAAAACA